GACGAACGCUGGCGGCGUGCUUAACACAUGCAAGUCGAACGCUGAAGCCCUUUCGGGGGUGGAUGAGUGGCGAACGGGUGAGUAACACGUGGGUAAUCUGCCCUGUACUUCGGGAUAAGCCUUGGAAACGGGGUCUAAUACCGGAUAGGACCUGUCCUCGCAUGGGGGUGGGUGGAAAGUUCCGGCGGUAUGGGAUGAGCCCGCGGCCUAUCAGCUUGUUGGUGGGGUAGUGGCCUACCAAGGCGACGACGGGUAGGCGGCCUGGGGUGGUGACCGGUCACACUGGGACUGAGACACGGCCCAGACUCCUACGGGAGGCAGCAGUGGGGAAUCCUGCGCAAGGGGCGAAAGCCUGACGCAGCAACGCCGCGUGGGGGAUGGCGGCCUUCGGGUUGUAAACCUCUUUCGACAUCGACGAAGGGGCCCUGUUGUGGGGUUUUGACGGUAGGUGUAGAAGAAGCACCGGCUAACUACGUGCCAGCAGCCGCCGCGG
This 493-nucleotide ribosomal RNA is filed under the name uncultured bacterium. RNAcentral's name for it is "partial 16S ribosomal RNA". It matches the Rfam family "Bacterial small subunit ribosomal RNA", at positions 28 to 523 of the family's 1533-position model. The record is from RNAcentral.